RNAcentral lists this ribosomal RNA (407 nucleotides) under uncultured bacterium. RNAcentral describes it as "partial 16S ribosomal RNA". It matches the Rfam family "Bacterial small subunit ribosomal RNA", at positions 30 to 526 of the family's 1533-position model. The record is from RNAcentral.
AUUGAACGCUGGCGGCAGGCCUAACACAUGCAAGUCGAGCGGAGCGGCGGACGGGUGAGUAAGGCCUAGGAAUCUGCCUGGUAGUGGUGGAUAACGUUCGGAAAUGGGCGCUAAUACCGCAUCCUAUCCGAUGAGCCUAGGUGGGAUUGGCUAGUUGGUGGGGUAAAGGCCUACCAAGGCGACGAUCCGUACCUGGUCUGAGAGGAUGAUCAGCCACACUGGAACUGAGACACGGUCCAGACUCCUACGGGAGGCAGCAGUGGGGAAUAUUGGACAAUGGGCGAAAGCCUGAUCCAGCCAUGCCGCGUGUGUGAAGAAGGUCUUCGGGUUGUAAAGCACUUUAAGUUGGGAGGCGUUACCAGCAGAAUAAGCACCGGCUAACUUCGUGCCAGCAGCCGCGGUAAUAC